CUUUGCAAGCAGGAUGUCAGCGGUUCGAGUCCGCUAACCUCCA
This 43-nucleotide transfer RNA is filed under the name Synechococcus elongatus PCC 6301. RNAcentral's name for it is "partial tRNA-Ala". The record is from RNAcentral. Lineage: Bacteria; Bacillati; Cyanobacteriota; Cyanophyceae; Synechococcales; Synechococcaceae.